ACGGGAGGCAGCAGUGGGGAAUAUUGCACAAUGGGCGCAAGCCUGAUGCAGCAACGCCGCGUGAGCGAAGAAGGUCUUCGGAUCGUAAAGCUCUGUCCUAAGGGACGAAGAAGUGACGGUACCUUAGGAGGAAGCCCCGGCUAACUACGUGCCAGCAGCCGCGGUAAUACGUAGGGGGCGAGCGUUAUCCGGAAUUAUUGGGCGUAAAGAGUACGUAGGUGGUUUAGUAAGCGAGGGGUGAAAGGCAUGGGCUUAACCCGUGUUAGCCUUUCGAACUGCCAGACUUGAGUGCAGGAGGGGAAAGCGGAAUUCCUGGUGUAGCGGUGAAAUGCGUAGAUAUCAGGAGGAACACCGGUGGCGAAGGCGGCUUUCUGGACUGUAACUGACACUGAGGUACGAAAGCGUGGGGAGCAAACAGGAUUAGAUACCCUGGUA
Molecule: ribosomal RNA, 435 nt
Filed under: uncultured Anaerovorax sp.
Lineage: Bacteria; Bacillati; Bacillota; Clostridia; Peptostreptococcales; Anaerovoracaceae
Description: partial 16S ribosomal RNA
Rfam family: Bacterial small subunit ribosomal RNA
Source: RNAcentral